UGCUAAGCGGGGUGCCGCGUAUGGGAAGUUCGCAGAGUGGCUUACGGCUCGUUCAAGUACCUAUUGAAUAUAGUCCAAGUACCCAUAGAGGGUGUGAGGCCCGUACGACGAGUCGUAAGUGUCUCCCGCGUUCUUCUCGAGAGUCGGGUUGCUUGAAAAUGCAGCCCUAAGAGGUGGUAAACUCCAUCUAAGGCUAAAUACUACCACGAGACCGAUAGCGAACAAGUACCGCGAGGGAAAGUUGAAAAGAACUUUGAAGAGAGAGUUCAAUAGAGCGUGAAACUGCCACGAGGUUAAAGCGGAUGGACAGUCGUGGCUGAACUGGGGGAUUCAGCUCCCUGGACGUAAUGGAGGCCCUCGCAACGCGACGACCGACUCUUCGGCUUCUCUCGGUACUCGUUACCAGGUUGUCGGGGAGGUUCAAACUGGCGUUCGUAGCGAUGGGUAGUCUCCUCGUUAUAUGAUGGGAGCUGUACCUUUCACCUUAGUAGGCCGUCGCGGGCGUUGAGAGCGUUGUCGAUGCCCCUGAGCUCGGGAACCAACCCUCAAAGCCUUCGCCACUCCGGUGGCGCUGGCGAGUAGGGGUUGGGGACGGUCCAGGGUAUACGACGGACCUCACGACGAUCCAGAUAUGGGACGGGUCCGUAAUAUAUAUGAAUGAUCGGAGGUGGGACUUCGUUCGUGCUCCUCGCGAGCCGAUCGUGUCACCCCUCGGUUAAAACGUUCGGACCCGUGCGCGGCGCAUAUACGGCGCACGUCCAUCCGUCCCGUCUUGAAACACGGACCAAGGAGUCUAGCAAGUGCGCGAGUCAUAAGGGUCCACUAAACCUUAGAUGGCGUAACGAAAGUAAUGUGAAUCUGGUCGCGCGCCUCGCGCGCGCGUCUUGAUCACGGGUGUAUUGUCUUCUGGGCAUUAUUACCCUGUUGGACCGAUCCCCUCGGAAAUGUCUCGUCCUCCCCGUUUAUUCGAGGAGGCGUGGCCGCUGCCGAAUAAUGGGGGGCGCAGGUCCGGGGCCCGCCAUAUUAUCCUCUAGCUAAUUAAAAAAAGCUGAACGAUAGGCGGGUUCCAAGAGCGUUCGUGCUAGUACCCGAAAGAUGGUGAUCUAUGCCUGGCCAGGAUGAAGCCAGAGGAAACUCUGGUGGAGGUCCGUAGCGGUUCUGACGUGCAAAUCG
Molecule: ribosomal RNA, 1173 nt
Filed under: Synisoma lancifer
Lineage: Eukaryota; Metazoa; Arthropoda; Malacostraca; Isopoda; Idoteidae
Description: partial 28S ribosomal RNA
Rfam family: Eukaryotic large subunit ribosomal RNA
Source: RNAcentral